Molecule: ribosomal RNA, 253 nt
Filed under: uncultured bacterium
Lineage: Bacteria
Description: partial 16S ribosomal RNA
Rfam family: Bacterial small subunit ribosomal RNA
Source: RNAcentral
UACGUAGGGGGCAAGCGUUGUCCGGAUUUAUUGGGCGUAAAGAGCGUGUAGGCGGCUUGUUAAGUCUUGCGUGAAAUCUCGGGGCUCAACCCCGAGCGGUCGUGAGAAACUGGCAGGCUAGAGUGCGGGAGAGGAGAGUGGAAUUCCUGGUGUAGCGGUGAAAUGCGCAGAUAUCAGGAAGAACACCCGUGGCGAAGGCGGCUCUCUGGAACGCAACUGACGCUGAGAAGCGAAAGCGUGGGGAGCGAACAGG